Molecule: small nuclear RNA, 99 nt
Filed under: Peromyscus maniculatus bairdii (prairie deer mouse)
Lineage: Eukaryota; Metazoa; Chordata; Mammalia; Rodentia; Cricetidae
Source: RNAcentral
UGCUCAUUCUGCAGCAAUGUACUAACAGCGGAACAAUACAGAGAUUGACAUGGCCCCUGUGCAAGGAUACACAAAAUUCAUGAAGUUUCUAUAUUUUUU